Molecule: ribosomal RNA, 642 nt
Filed under: uncultured bacterium
Lineage: Bacteria
Description: bacterial SSU rRNA
Rfam family: Bacterial small subunit ribosomal RNA
Source: RNAcentral
UAAAGAUUCAUCGCUGAUAGAUAGGCAUGCGUUCCAUUAGGCAGUUGGCGGGGUAACGGCCCACCAAACCGACGAUGGAUAGGGGUUCUGAGAGGAAGGUCCCCCACAUUGGUACUGAGACACGGACCAAACUCCUACGGGAGGCAGCAGUGAGGAAUAUUGGUCAAUGGGCGUAAGCCUGAACCAGCCAAGUCGCGUGAGGGAUGAAGGUUCUAUGGAUCGUAAACCUCUUUUAUAAGGGAAUAAAGUGCGGGACGUGUCCCGUUUUGUAUGUACCUUAUGAAUAAGGAUCGGCUAACUCCGUGCCAGCAGCCGCGGUAAUACGGAGGAUCCGAGCGUUAUCCGGAUUUAUUGGGUUUAAAGGGUGCGUAGGCGGCCUUUUAAGUCAGCGGUGAAAGUCUGUGGCUCAACCAUAGAAUUGCCGUUGAAACUGGGAGGCUUGAGUAUGUUUGAGGCAGGCGGAAUGCGUGGUGUAGCGGUGAAAUGCUUAGAUAUCACGCAGAACCCCGAUUGCGAAGGCAGCCUGCCAAGCCAUGACUGACGCUGAUGCACGAAAGCGUGGGGAUCAAACAGGAUUAGAUACCCUGGUAGUCCACGCAGUAAACGAUGAUCACUAGCUGUUUGCGAUACACAGUAAGCGGC